This 32-nucleotide transfer RNA is filed under the name Achnatherum bromoides. RNAcentral's name for it is "partial tRNA-Phe". Lineage: Eukaryota; Viridiplantae; Streptophyta; Magnoliopsida; Poales; Poaceae. The record is from RNAcentral.
GUCAGGAUAGCUCAGCUGGUAGAGAGAGGACU